UACGUAGGGUGCGAGCGUUAAUCGGAAUUACUGGGCGUAAAGCGGGCGUAGGCGGUCGGGUAAGACCGAUGUGAAAUCCCGAGGCUCAACCUCGGGCUUGCAUCGGGUACGGGCAGACUAGAGUGCGGUAGGGGAGACUGGAAUUCCUGGUGUAGUGGUGGAAUGCGCAGAUAUCGGGAGGAACACCCGUAGCGAAGGCGGCACUCUGGGCCGGUACUGACGCUGAGGAGCGAAGGCGUGGGGAGCAAACAGG
This 253-nucleotide ribosomal RNA is filed under the name uncultured bacterium. Its description in RNAcentral is "partial 16S ribosomal RNA". It matches the Rfam family "Bacterial small subunit ribosomal RNA", at positions 524 to 776 of the family's 1533-position model. The record is from RNAcentral.